CAAACUCCAAACCGACCGACUAUUUGCUGUAUGAUAAUUUUUGAAACCGUAAACCGAUCGCUUUUUGCCAUUUACCGAUUGCGGUAAACCACAAAAGCGGUCGGUUAUUAGAGGUUUAAAACCGCAAGUUUUUUUUGUAUCAUAAAAAUCCAGUCUUCCACAUUUUAGGCCUAAUUUUGAUGCUUCUUUUGAAGCCUUUUGAUUUCAAGCAUACUUUAACCCAAAAAUAUAAAUUCAC
This 238-nucleotide long non-coding RNA is filed under the name Prunus persica (peach). RNAcentral describes it as "long non-coding RNA (PPER_LNC001188)". Lineage: Eukaryota; Viridiplantae; Streptophyta; Magnoliopsida; Rosales; Rosaceae. The record is from RNAcentral.